Molecule: transfer RNA, 68 nt
Filed under: Stegodyphus mimosarum
Lineage: Eukaryota; Metazoa; Arthropoda; Arachnida; Araneae; Eresidae
Rfam family: tRNA
About the family: Transfer RNA (tRNA) molecules are approximately 80 nucleotides in length. Their secondary structure includes four short double-helical elements and three loops (D, anti-codon, and T loops).
Source: Rfam by way of RNAcentral
CUUCGUGGUGUAGUGGUCAGCACGCUCGACGCGUAACCGAGAGGUCCGUGGUUCGAGUCCCGGCGAAG